RNAcentral lists this ribosomal RNA (254 nucleotides) under uncultured bacterium. Its description in RNAcentral is "partial 16S ribosomal RNA". It matches the Rfam family "Bacterial small subunit ribosomal RNA", at positions 524 to 777 of the family's 1533-position model. The record is from RNAcentral.
UACAUGGGGUGCAAACGUUGCUCGGAAUUAUUGGGCGUAAAGCGCACGUAGGCGGUUUGUUAAGUCGGAUGUGAAAUCCCUCGGCUCAACUGAGGAAGUGCACCCGAAACUGGCAGGCUUGAGUACUAAAGAGGGUCGCGGAAUUCCCGGUGUAGAGGUGAAAUUCGUAGAUAUCGGGGGGAACACCGGUGGCGAAGGCGGCGACCUGGGUAGAUACUGACGCUGAGGUGCGAAAGCGUGGGGAGCAAACAGGG